UACAUUGCAUUAAUCUCUGAUAAUUCCUGAGAUAAACUGUUUCGAGAUAAACCAAGUGUAAUAAUAUAUUUUCAUAACAUCAGUGUCGACUGUGAAUAUGACUAAACGGCAUUGUUGUAGAUUAAUUAAUAAUUUAAAUAAUUAAAAUUAGGUAGAGUAAGGUCACUGCGGAAUUGGAGUUUAUACAACACAGAGAUGUCACCUCGACAGGACCACAUACGAGAGACGGAACGAGUGUGUCUGCCCACGCAGCCGCGGCCGCCGCCCCCGCCCGCUCCUGGUCGCCUACAGAGACCUCUGCACGACCACCCCGCCAACUAUAUCCUACGACCCGCCAACACGACACGCAAUACCGUCACAAUCACAACGCGCUAAAUAUAUAAUUUGAAAUUUGAAAAUGGAACUCUUCGUUCUAUAAGUGUGGUUUACAUAAAAAAAAAGUUUUUAUCGUG
Galleria mellonella (greater wax moth) is the source of this 452-nucleotide long non-coding RNA. RefSeq lists it as uncharacterized. The transcript has 2 exons. Lineage: Eukaryota; Metazoa; Arthropoda; Insecta; Lepidoptera; Pyralidae. The record is from RefSeq and is a predicted model, not a curated record.